This 255-nucleotide ribosomal RNA is filed under the name uncultured bacterium. Its description in RNAcentral is "partial 16S ribosomal RNA". It matches the Rfam family "Bacterial small subunit ribosomal RNA", at positions 524 to 776 of the family's 1533-position model. The record is from RNAcentral.
UACGUAGGCAGCGAGCGUUUGUUCGGAGUUACUGGGCGUAAAGGGUGUGUAGGCGGUUCUCUAAGUUUGGUGUGAAAUCUCCCGGCUCAACCGGGAGGGUGCGCCGAAAACUGGGGGACUCGAGUGCGGGAUGGGGAGAGUAGAAUUCCUGGUGUAGCGGUGAAAUGCGUAGAUAUCAGGAGGAAUACCGGUGGUGUAGACGGCUCUCUGGACCGCCACUGACGCUGAGACACGAAAGCGUGGGUAGCAAACAGG